Molecule: long non-coding RNA, 522 nt
Organism: Cyprinodon tularosa
Lineage: Eukaryota; Metazoa; Chordata; Actinopteri; Cyprinodontiformes; Cyprinodontidae
Exons: 3
Source: RefSeq, a predicted model, not a curated record
UUCCAGAUCAGACAGACUGAGUGUUUCUGCAAACUGUUCUCUGGUUCUAAAGAAAGUCACAGCUGAGGAUGUUGGUCUUUACUCCUGCAGACAGUUUAUAUCAGAUAGACAGGAGGGUCCAGAUGCUUAUGUUCAUCUUUCUCUUGUUAACUUGACAGAAGAUCAGAACCAGAACAGGGUGACAUUAAGCUGCUCUGUGGUGACUGAUGAGUGUAAACACAGAGUGAAGUGGUUGAAUAAAGGUAGAGAUAUGGAUAAAGAAAACAAAGAACUAACAGAAUCAUCAUCUUCCUGCUCUGCUGCUGUCACCUUCCAGACAUCUCAUUUCUUUAACCAAGCAAGGUUUAAUGAUUUAAAGUGUGAAAUAAAGACAGAAGAUGAUAAAGUUCAUCUUUUUACCUUCAGCUCUCAUCCAUCAGACAAACACAAAACAAUGACCACAACAAACUCACGUACGGCGGAACAGGAGAAACAACAGUUACAGCUGAAUUCAAAGAAAAACCAGAGAAAAGGAACACAGGU